CAGUGUUUGUGACCAAGUGGCUACUAAAAGAGACUGGACAUACCCCAUUUGCAAUACCUAGGGUUGUCUACUUUUGCAAAUGGUAUGCCAUCAUGGGGGUAAUCUUCAUUCCUGGGCUACCAUACGGUCUCAAAGACACCGUAACCAAUCUGGCGAAUUUCAAUGUGAAAAAAAUGAAAAAUGUAACAUGCUAUAUUUGACCCUGUAACUUCCCAAAACACCAUAAAACCUGUACAUAGGGGGUACUGUUUUACAUGUGAG
This is a non-coding RNA of Pelobates cultripes (western spadefoot toad), 261 nucleotides long. NCBI's taxonomy places the organism in Eukaryota, Metazoa, Chordata, Amphibia, Anura, Pelobatidae. The record is from the annotation of a GenBank genome assembly.